AGCUCCAAUAGCGUAUAUUAAAGUUGUUGCAGUUAAAAAGCUCGUAGUUGGAUUUCUGGGCUUUGACGAUGGUUCGCCGCAAGGUGUACACUGUCGUUGGAGCCCAUCCUCUCGAAGACGGGGCGUGCUCUUUACCGGGUGCGUCUUGGACUCGGGACUUUUACUUUGAAAAAAUUAGAGUGUUCAAAGCAGGCUUACGCUUGAAUACUUCAGCAUGGAAUAAUGGAAUAGGACUUUGGUCUUAUUUUGUUGGUUUCUAGGACCGAAGUAAUGAUUAAUAGGGACAGUUGGGGGCAUUAGUAUUUAAUUGUCAGAGGUGAAAUUCUUGGAUUUAUGAAAGACUAACUUCUGCGAAAGCAUUUGCCAAGGAUGUUUUCA
Molecule: ribosomal RNA, 378 nt
Filed under: uncultured eukaryote
Lineage: Eukaryota
Description: SSU rRNA
Rfam family: Eukaryotic small subunit ribosomal RNA
Source: RNAcentral